Non-coding RNA from Oryctolagus cuniculus (rabbit), 1377 nucleotides. The record is from RefSeq and is a predicted model, not a curated record. NCBI's taxonomy places the organism in Eukaryota, Metazoa, Chordata, Mammalia, Lagomorpha, Leporidae.
UAGACUUUUAUUAAGAAAAACAGCCAUGGGUACACGGGGAAAGAGAAAGAAGAAAAAGCCCCUACUUCCCGCAGCACCCAGCUUAUAUAGCGCUAACAGCCAAUCACAGGCAAGCUAAAGUCCAUGUGUGAAGCACUCCAAUCAGACUCUGGUCCACGCGCGUGCAUGCGUUUCUUGGCCAAUCAGCUGGAGUAUCACGCGGCAGGCAGGCUCGCAACACAGUCCUCCGAUCGGUCUUCCUGUUUACGGCACUUGCGGUUUCACUUCCUCCCGGCGCCAUCUUGUGGGGUCGGCGUCCCGAUCCCCACGUGUGUGUGUGUGUGUGUGUGUGUGUGUGUGUGUAUGUGUGUGUGUGUAUGCAAAAGGGAGGCUUGUUUUACAAGAUGCAGGCUUUUCAAGGUUGUCUGUAGACAGGUUAUGAUUUUUAAAAUUUUUUUAAAGAUUUAUUUGGUCUGUUUGGAAGGCAGAUUGACAAAGAUAGAGGGAAAGACAGAAAGAAAAGAGAUCCUCCAUCUGUUGUUUCAUUCCCCGAAUGGCCACAAUGGCCAGGGCUGGACCAGGUUAAAGCCAGGAGCCUGAAACUUCCUCCUGGUCUUCCAUGUGGAUGGCAGAAGCCCAAGCACUUUGGCCAUCCUCUGCUGCUUGUGCAGACCAUUAGCAGUGAGCCGAAUUGGAAGCAGAGCAGCUGGGACUUGAUCUGGCCUCUGAUACAGGACGCUGUCAUCGCAGGCAACAGCUUAACCUGCUGCUUCCCAUGGCUGCCCUGGGAGUCGACAUACUAGCCAUGAGGUUCUGGAGGAAAUCUACAUCAGAUUUAUCCUUUAGAUGAAGCUGCUCAGAGACAGGACUCAUAUUUCUUGCAAACUCGGUGGAACACACAGGUUUAGAGAAACUUGAAGAAACUCAAAUAACAGUGAGAGCAAUUACAGUUGCAUGUAGAAUACAUGGAUUAACGCACUGAAACUUGAUUUUACGAUAAUCUAAGUAGAGAGGAGGCUGCAUGAUCUGAAGAAGAGUUUCAGAGCUGGGAGUGUCCAGUCUUCAGUGAUCCCAUCCUCUUCACUUCAGGACGGUGGAACUGAGAUCCAGAGAGGCUGACAUUGAGACCCCCAGCAUCCGAGGAAGACCGGAAGAGUGGAACCCCACUGUCCCACCAAGGCCAAGCCUCUGAUGAAUCUUCUUUAAGAAAAGCUCACCCUUGGCCGGCGCCGUGGCUCAACAGGCUAAUCCUCCGCCUUGAGGCGCUGGCACACCAGGUUCUAGUCCCGGUCGGGGCACCGGAUUCUGUCCUGGUUGCCCCUCUUCUAGGCCAGCUCUCUGCUGUGGCCAGGGAGUGCAGUGGAGGAUGGCCCAAGUGCUUGGGCCCUGCACCCCAUG